Molecule: ribosomal RNA, 315 nt
Filed under: Staphylococcus aureus
Lineage: Bacteria; Bacillati; Bacillota; Bacilli; Caryophanales; Staphylococcaceae
Description: bacterial SSU rRNA
Rfam family: Bacterial small subunit ribosomal RNA
Source: RNAcentral
UGGAGGGUCAUUGGAAACUGGAAAACUUGAGUGCAGAAGAGGAAAGUGGAAUUCCAUGUGUAGCGGUGAAAUGCGCAGAGAUAUGGAGGAACACCAGUGGCGAAGGCGACUUUCUGGUCUGUAACUGACGCUGAUGUGCGAAAGCGUGGGGAUCAAACAGGAUUAGAUACCCUGGUAGUCCACGCCGUAAACGAUGAGUGCUAAGUGUUAGGGGGUUUCCGCCCCUUAGUGCUGCAGCUAACGCAUUAAGCACUCCGCCUGGGGAGUACGACCGCAAGGUUGAAACUCAAAGGAAUUGACGGGGACCCGCACAAG